UUAAAUUGAAGAGUUUGAUCAUGGCUCAGAUUGAAUGCUGGCGGCAGGCCUAACACAUGCAAGUCGAACGGUAACAGGAAACAGCUUGC
RNAcentral lists this ribosomal RNA (89 nucleotides) under Escherichia coli. RNAcentral describes it as "partial 16S ribosomal RNA". It matches the Rfam family "Bacterial small subunit ribosomal RNA", at positions 1 to 88 of the family's 1533-position model. Lineage: Bacteria; Pseudomonadati; Pseudomonadota; Gammaproteobacteria; Enterobacterales; Enterobacteriaceae. The record is from RNAcentral.